CCUACGGGUGGCUGCAGUGAGGAAUAUUGGUCAAUGGACGAGAGUCUGAACCAGCCAAGUAGCGUGAAGGAUGACUGCCCUAUGGGUUGUAAACUUCUUUUAUAAAGGAAUAAAACGAGGCACGUGUGCCUUUUUGCAUGUACUUUAUGAUUAAGGAUCGGCUAACUCCGUGCCAGCACCCGCGGUAAUACGGAGGAUCCGAGCGUUAUCCGGAUUGAUUGGGUUUAAAGGGAGCGUAGAUGGGUUGUUAAGUCAGUUGUGAAAGGUUACGCCUCACCCGUAAAAGUGCAAUUGAUACUGGCAGGCUUGAGUGCGGAUGAGGUGGGCGGAAGUCGUGGUGUAGCGGUGAAAUGCGUAGAGAUCACGAAGAACACCGAUUGCGAAGGCAGCUUACUAAACUGUGACUGACAUUGAUGCGCGAAAGCGUGGGUAUCAAACAGGAUUAGAUACCCGAGUAGUC
This 460-nucleotide ribosomal RNA is filed under the name uncultured bacterium. RNAcentral's name for it is "partial 16S ribosomal RNA". It matches the Rfam family "Bacterial small subunit ribosomal RNA", at positions 338 to 795 of the family's 1533-position model. The record is from RNAcentral.